Molecule: ribosomal RNA, 224 nt
Filed under: Thryssa kammalensis (Kammal thryssa)
Lineage: Eukaryota; Metazoa; Chordata; Actinopteri; Clupeiformes; Engraulidae
Description: partial 16S ribosomal RNA
Source: RNAcentral
AAAAGCUAGCUCAAAUACCUUAGUUAAAUUAACAACUUUUAUCACUACUCACUCACCCGAAACUUCUAAACUAAAUCAUUUAUCCUCCCCAGUAUGGGCGACAAAAAAGGAUCCUAUGAAGCUAUAGAUAAAGUACCGCAAGGGAAAGCUGAAAAAGAAAUGAAAAAACACAUCAAAGCACAAAAAAGCAGAGAACUCUUCUCGUACCUUUGGCAUCAUGAUUC